This 253-nucleotide ribosomal RNA is filed under the name uncultured bacterium. Its description in RNAcentral is "partial 16S ribosomal RNA". It matches the Rfam family "Bacterial small subunit ribosomal RNA", at positions 524 to 776 of the family's 1533-position model. The record is from RNAcentral.
GACGGAGGAUGCAAGCGUUAUCCGGAAUGAUUGGGCGUAAAGCGUCCGCAGGUGGCAGUUCAAGUCUGCUGUCAAAGACCGGGGCUUAACUUCGGAAAGGCAGUGGAAACUGAACAGCUAGAGUAUGGUAGGGGCAGAGGGAAUUCCUGGUGUAGCGGUGAAAUGCGCAGAUAUCAAGGAGGAACACCGGUGGCGAAGGCGCCACUCUGGGCCGAACUGACGCUGAGGAGCGAAAGCGUGGGUAGCAAACAGG